GAUGAACGCUGGCGGCGUGCCUAAUACAUGCAAGUCGAGCGAACAGACGAGGAGCUUGCUCCUUCGACGUUAGCGGCGGACGGGUGAGUAACACGUAGGUAACCUACCUAUAAGACUGGGAUAACUUCGGGAAACCGGAGCUAAUACCGGCUAAUAUUUCGUACCGCAUGAUUCGAUAGUGAAAGAUGGCUUUGCUAUCACUUAUAGAUGGACCUGCGCCGUAUUAGCUAGUUGGUAAGGUAACGGCUUACCAAGGCAACGAUACGUAGCCGGCCUGAGAGGGUGAUCGGCCACACUGGAACUGAGACACGGUCCAGACUCCUACGGGAGGCAGCAGUAGGGAAUAUUCCGCAAUGGGCGAAAGCCUGACGGAGCAACGCCGCGUGAGUGAUGAAGGUCUUCGGAUCGUAAAACUCUGUUAUUAGGGAAGAACAAACGUGUAAGUAACCGUGCACGUCUUGACGGUACCUAAUCAGAAAGCCACGGCUAACUACGUG
Molecule: ribosomal RNA, 497 nt
Filed under: uncultured bacterium
Lineage: Bacteria
Description: partial 16S ribosomal RNA
Rfam family: Bacterial small subunit ribosomal RNA
Source: RNAcentral